GACGAACGCUGGCGGCGUGCUUAACACAUGCAAGUGGAGCGACGAACCAGGGCUUGCCCUGGGGCAGAGCCGCGAACGGGUGAGUAACACGUGGGUAACGUGCCCCGAUGAUCGGGACAACCCGGGGAAACCCGGGCUAAUACCGAAUGUGCUCCCCUCACACCAGUGAGGGAUGGAAAGGAAGCUUCGGCCUCCGCAUCGGGAUCGGCCCGCGGCCCAUUAGCUUGUUGGUGAGGUAACGGCNCACCAAGGCUGCGAUGGGUAGCUGGUCUGAGAGGACGAUCAGCCACACUGGGACUGAGACACGGCCCAGACUCCUACGGGAGGCAGCAGUGGGGAAUCUUGCGCAAUGCGCGAAAGCGUGACGCAGCAACGCCGCGUGGGGGAAGACGGC
This 394-nucleotide ribosomal RNA is filed under the name uncultured bacterium. Its description in RNAcentral is "bacterial SSU rRNA". It matches the Rfam family "Bacterial small subunit ribosomal RNA", at positions 28 to 415 of the family's 1533-position model. The record is from RNAcentral.